GAUUGUAAGUGCCCAUAGCUCCAUGAUCAAGGAUAGGAUUUUUUUUUUUUUAAUAACAAAAAGGAGAGAGAAGAGAGGAGAUCGAUGUAGAGAACCUCUCUAGACGAAUCCGAAAAACCCUCUUUUCGCUGAAAAAUAUUUGAUUCAGACAUAAGAGUAAGUCACUCUUCAUCGUAUUGAAUGAGUACGUCACUCCAACACCAUCGAAAUGUCAGAAGAUCAGUGCCGCUUCCAACAUCUGCACCCAAGCCAUCAGAAGGAAUCCUCCCUCCAGCAUUUACUCACGAUUUGAAUUUGGAUCACUUGCGUGGAGGCGGAGGUCCAUUUCUACUGGGCUACCGCCACGGCGGGCAAGGAUGGAAUUUACUAGAAAAUGGAAUCCAAUAACAUGGAUCCAUGAAUGUGAUGCAACCCGCGAGCAAACAAAGUCAGUCAUUAAUUAACAGGA
RNAcentral lists this long non-coding RNA (448 nucleotides) under Elaeis guineensis (African oil palm). RNAcentral's name for it is "long non-coding RNA (EGUI_LNC000629)". Lineage: Eukaryota; Viridiplantae; Streptophyta; Magnoliopsida; Arecales; Arecaceae. The record is from RNAcentral.